UACAGAGGUCUCAAGCGUUGUUCGGAUUCAUUGGGCGUAAAGGGUGCGUAGGCGGCGCGGUAAGUCGGGUGUGAAAGCCCUCAGCUCAACUGAGGAAGUGCGCCCGAAACUGCUGUGCUUGAGUGCCGGAGAGGAUGGCGGAAUUCCCCAAGUAGAGGUGAAAUUCGUAGAUAUGGGGAGGAACACCGGUGGCGAAGGCGGCCAUCUGGACGGUAACUGACGCUGAGACGCGAAAGCGUGGGUAGCAAACAGG
This 253-nucleotide ribosomal RNA is filed under the name uncultured bacterium. Its description in RNAcentral is "partial 16S ribosomal RNA". It matches the Rfam family "Bacterial small subunit ribosomal RNA", at positions 524 to 776 of the family's 1533-position model. The record is from RNAcentral.